GGGACGUUCGUCUAGUGGCUAGGAUGGUGGGCUCCAGACCCACUGAUCGCGGGUUCAAUUCCCACACGUCCCACCA
Molecule: transfer RNA, 76 nt
Filed under: Candidatus Lokiarchaeum ossiferum
Lineage: Archaea; Promethearchaeati; Promethearchaeota; Promethearchaeia; Promethearchaeales; Promethearchaeaceae
Description: tRNA-Trp
Rfam family: tRNA
About the family: Transfer RNA (tRNA) molecules are approximately 80 nucleotides in length. Their secondary structure includes four short double-helical elements and three loops (D, anti-codon, and T loops). Further hydrogen bonds mediate the characteristic L-shaped molecular structure. tRNAs have two regions of fundamental functional importance: the anti-codon, which is responsible for specific mRNA codon recognition, and the 3' end, to which the tRNAs corresponding amino acid is attached (by aminoacyl-tRNA synthetases). tRNAs cope with the degeneracy of the genetic code in two manners: having more than one tRNA (with a specific anti-codon) for a particular amino acid; and 'wobble' base-pairing, i.e. permitting non-standard base-pairing at the 3rd anti-codon position.
Source: RNAcentral